CACACAUACCAGCUGAGUUUUUGGGAUACAGCCAUGCUGUAUGCAGAGAGCGGGGGAACCAUCGAGAAGGACCGCAGCGGUUUCUUUUCAGGGGUGAAUCGGACGACAGGAUGUUAUGGAAUUCUGUUGGUCUGUAGGGAGACUCUUACUCCCGAAUCCGGCAGCUAACCUCGUAAGCUGAAAAUAAGAGAGGC
RNAcentral lists this small RNA (194 nucleotides) under Paenibacillus bovis. RNAcentral describes it as "c-di-AMP sequence". It matches the Rfam family "c-di-AMP riboswitch aptamer (ydaO/yuaA leader)". Rfam says of the family: This family represents a conserved RNA structure found upstream of the ydaO and yuaA genes in Bacillus subtilis and related genes in other bacteria. The ydaO/yuaA element is thought to act as a genetic "off" switch for the ydaO and yuaA genes in its native state. Lineage: Bacteria; Bacillati; Bacillota; Bacilli; Caryophanales; Paenibacillaceae. The record is from Rfam by way of RNAcentral.